Molecule: ribosomal RNA, 482 nt
Filed under: uncultured bacterium
Lineage: Bacteria
Description: partial 16S ribosomal RNA
Rfam family: Bacterial small subunit ribosomal RNA
Source: RNAcentral
AUUGAACGCUGGCGGCAUGAUUUACACAUGCAAGUCGAACGGUAACAGGCCGCAAGUUGCUGAUGUGUGGCGUACGGGCGAGUAAUGCAUCGGAACGUGCCCAGCCGUGGGGGCUAACUACUCGAAAGAUUAGCUACUACCGCAAACGCCCCAUGGAUGAUAGCGUGGGCCUGUAAGACCUAGCGAGAUUGGCCCCGCCGAUGUCAGAUUAAGUAGUUGGUGGGGUAAAGGCUCACCAAGCCAACGAUAUGUAGCUGGCCUGAGAGGACGACCAGCCACACUGGGACUGGGACACGGCCCAGACGCCUACGGGAGGCAGCAGUGGGGAAUUUUGGACAAGGGGGGCAAGCCGGAUCCGGCAAGGCCGCGUGCAGGAAGAAGGCCUUCGGGUUGUAAGCUGCUUUUGUACGGAACGAAACGGCUCUGGUUAAUACCCGGAGCUAAUGACGGUACCGUAAGAGUAAGCACCGGCUAACUACGUG